CUAAUGGAGAGUUUGAUCCUGGCUCAGGACGAACGCUGGCGGCGCGCUUAACACAUGCAAGUCGAACGGGUCGGCCUUCUUCGGAGGGCCGGUCAGUGGCGAACGGGUGCGUAACACGUGAGCAA
Molecule: ribosomal RNA, 125 nt
Filed under: Gemmatimonadota bacterium
Lineage: Bacteria; Pseudomonadati; Gemmatimonadota
Description: partial 16S ribosomal RNA
Rfam family: Bacterial small subunit ribosomal RNA
Source: RNAcentral